UCCAGGACGACUUUGUCGUCUUGCAUAGAUGAUUGAGCAUUCCCAUUCUCUUGCUCUAGCAUACUCUCGUCAAAAUUCAGCGGACAACUCGGGGGAACUUCGACAGGAUUGAAAUCAUCCACAGAUUUUAGACUCCCAAUGAAUGAUGAUUCGCCACUAUAAACUGCAUCAAUAUUGAACUCUUUCCCGAGCUCCGAGACGAUCCUUGCCUCCGAAGG
RNAcentral lists this unclassified non-coding RNA (218 nucleotides) under Hevea brasiliensis (rubber tree). The record is from RNAcentral. Lineage: Eukaryota; Viridiplantae; Streptophyta; Magnoliopsida; Malpighiales; Euphorbiaceae.